This 472-nucleotide ribosomal RNA is filed under the name uncultured bacterium. Its description in RNAcentral is "partial 16S ribosomal RNA". It matches the Rfam family "Bacterial small subunit ribosomal RNA", at positions 28 to 507 of the family's 1533-position model. The record is from RNAcentral.
GACGAACGCUGGCGGCGUGCUUAACACAUGCAAGUCGAACGCUGAAGCUUGGUGCUUGCACUUGGUGGAUUAGUGGCGAACGGGUGAGUAAUACGUGAGUAACCUGCCCUUGACUCUGGGAUAAGCCUGGGAAACUGGAUCUAAUACUGGAUACGACUUGUCACCGCAUGGUUGUGUGUGGAAAGGGUUUGAGUGGUUUUGGAUUGGCUCACGGCCAAUCAGCUUGUUGGUGUGGUAAUGGCUCACCAUGGCGACGCCGGGUAGCCGGCCUGGGAGGUGGACCGGCGACACUGGGACUGAGAGAGGCCCCAGACGCCUACGGGAGGCAGCAGUGGGGAACAUGGCACAAUGGGGGGAAGCCAGAGAUGGCGACGCUGGGUGAGGAAUAACGGCUUACGGGGGGUAAACCUCUUUGAGCACGGAAGAAGCGAACGUGACGGUACGUGCAGAAGAAGCGCCGGCUAACUACGUG